Molecule: ribosomal RNA, 459 nt
Filed under: uncultured bacterium
Lineage: Bacteria
Description: bacterial SSU rRNA
Rfam family: Bacterial small subunit ribosomal RNA
Source: RNAcentral
AUUGAACGCUGGCGGCAUGCCUUACACAUGCAAGUCGAACGGCAGCGGACCUUCGGGUGCCGGCGAGUGGCGAACGGGUGAGUAAUAUAUCGGAACGUACCUUUCAGUGGGGGAUAACGUAGCGAAAGUUACGCUAAUACCGCAUAUUCUGUGAGCAGGAAAGCAGGGGAUCGCAAGACCUUGCGCUGAUUGAGCGGCCGAUAUCAGAUUAGCUAGUUGGUGAGGUAAAGGCUCACCAAGGCGACGAUCUGUAGCGGGUCUGAGAGGAUGAUCCGCCACACUGGAACUGAGACACGGUCCAGACUCCUACGGGAGGCAGCAGUGGGGAAUUUUGGACAAUGGGCGCAAGCCUGAUCCAGCCAUGCCGCGUGAGUGAAGAAGGCCUGGUGUAAGCUCUUCGUCGGACGAAGUACGCACAGUAAGUACCUACGUGUGGAUGACGGUACCGGAACGUAAGAA